AUACGUAGGUGGCAAGCGUUGUCCGGAAUUAUUGGGCGUAAAGCGCGCGCAGGUGGUUCCUUAAGUCUGAUGUGAAAGCCCCCGGCUCAACCGGGGAGGGUCAUUGGAAACUGGGGAACUUGAGUGCAGAAGAGAAUAGUGGAAUUCCAAGUGUAGCGGUGAAAUGCGUAGAGAUUUGGAGGAACACCAGUGGCGAAGGCGACUGUCGGGUCUGUAACGGACACUGAGGCGCGAAAGCGUGGGGAGCAAACAGGAUUAGAUACCCGGGUAGUCCACGCCGUAAACGAUGAGUGCUAAGUGUUGGGGGGUUUCCGCCCCUCAGUGCUGCAGCUAACGCAUUAAGCACUCCGCCUGGGGAGUACGGUCGCAAGACUGAGACUCAAAGGAAUUGACGGGG
RNAcentral lists this ribosomal RNA (397 nucleotides) under uncultured bacterium. RNAcentral describes it as "partial 16S ribosomal RNA". It matches the Rfam family "Bacterial small subunit ribosomal RNA", at positions 523 to 918 of the family's 1533-position model. The record is from RNAcentral.